UACGGAGGAUCCAAGCGUUAUCCGGAAUCAUUGGGCUGAAAGGGUCCGUAGGCCGGAUAAUAAGUCAGUGGUGAAAGUCUGCAGCUCAACUGUAGAAUUGCCAUUGAUACUGUUGCUCUUGAGUGGUUUUGAAGUGGUUAGAAUAUGUAGUGUAGCGGUGAAAUGCAUAGAUAUUACAUAGAAUACCGAUUGCGAAGGCAGAUCACUAAUAAUGUACUGACGCUGAUGGACGAAAGCGUAGGUAGCGAACAGG
This 253-nucleotide unclassified non-coding RNA is filed under the name uncultured Flavobacteriaceae bacterium. RNAcentral's name for it is "contains 16S-23S intergenic spacer region". It matches the Rfam family "Bacterial small subunit ribosomal RNA", at positions 524 to 776 of the family's 1533-position model. The record is from RNAcentral. Lineage: Bacteria; Pseudomonadati; Bacteroidota; Flavobacteriia; Flavobacteriales; Flavobacteriaceae.